Molecule: long non-coding RNA, 1154 nt
Organism: Salvelinus sp. IW2-2015
Lineage: Eukaryota; Metazoa; Chordata; Actinopteri; Salmoniformes; Salmonidae
Source: RefSeq, a predicted model, not a curated record
UGUUGCAUGCCUUUCUUUGCUUGAAUCCAAACUUUAUAAUAAAAUGUUAAUCAAAUACACCCACCGACUGUUUCCUUGUUGAGAUUCAAUUUGCGCAUUCGUACUGAGUUGCCAUUUUAGAGCAACAGCAAUGAGGAAACAGUCGGUGGUUGUAUGAGAAACGUUUAAUUAAAAAGCAUGUAUUUCAGAAAACACAGAAAGGCAUGCAACAACAGAAGACAAACAUAGGUGAUGGAGAUACCAAUGACGGAUCUACAGAGAGGGAGGGAAGUUGAGUCUAGAGAGGACUUGCACUCUGAAGAGGAGCAUAUGUAGGAGGCACAUUCUGUGGAGAGCAGCCUGUCGGCAGCACUAACCCACUCUGAGAGAAGCAUGCACAGUGCCGGAUAUAUGGUUCAAGCACGCAUCAUUGAGGUGGAACAUACCUUUGUCCAGCUGGAGGGUAGCAUGGACAGUAUGAGGCUGCUCUUUGAGGAGUGCAUAGAGGUGCAGAUAGAGGUGGGACAGGUGAAGAGUAAGCUAUUUGUCACAGCCAGACUGUAUUCAGAGCCAGCUAACACUGACUGCACAACAGUAUGAUGGCCCAGUACAGUCACACAGGAGGAGCUCCAGGCCCAUGUCCAGUCUCACAGAGGUAGCCCAGCUUAUGGAGACCCGGCACAACCAGCUGAACACCCUGAAGGAUUGGGCGACGCCAUCCCAUCACUGGGCCGUGAACGACUUCACUCACUGCCAACAAGCCUCACUGUGCCUGCAGCAGCAGCAUGAGGAAUCUAGAAGGCUGGUAUGAGCCGUGCCCGCUAGCCCUGCUCCGGAGGACGCAGGGAAGGAUACCCUGAGCCAGUAAAGGUAUAGUGUAACUGUUCUAAUUUCUUCUCAUCAGGAGACUGAGGAAGCUGAAGCUUCAUUUUUAGAAAAAGGCAUGACAGACAAUUGGAAGAAUUGAAGGGACUUUUGACCCUUAGGAAUGAAGGUUUAUCAAAUUAAUAUUUUUAGACGGUACUACUUACAAUUGCCUGUAUAGAUAGGCUGACAUGUACAAUUAACAUUCCUGGGAGUCUCAAGGUGAUUUUAUUACAUGGGCUGUAUUGAAGUAAGCAAGACAUUUGCUGAAGGGGAAUCAUAACUUUUCCAUGGAAGUACAGGACAGUUGA